RNAcentral lists this ribosomal RNA (329 nucleotides) under uncultured bacterium. Its description in RNAcentral is "bacterial SSU rRNA". It matches the Rfam family "Bacterial small subunit ribosomal RNA", at positions 192 to 507 of the family's 1533-position model. The record is from RNAcentral.
GGUUUAGUUUAAAAGAUGGUCUUGCUAUCACUAAGAGAUGGUCCCGCGGUGUAAUUAGUUAGUUGGUGAGGUAAUGGCUCACCAAGACAAUGAUACAUAGCCGAGUUGAGAGACUGACCGGCCACAAUGGGACUGAGACACGGCCCAUACUCCUACGGGAGGCAGCAGUAGGGAAUCUUCCACAAUGGACGAAAGUCUGAUGGAGCAACGCCGCGUGUGUGAUGAAAGGGUUUCGGCUCGUAAAACACUGUUGUAAGAGAAGAAUGACAUUGAGAGUAACUGUUCAAUGUGUGACGGUAUCUUACCAGAAAGGAACGGCUAAAUACGUG